AAACCGCCCAGAGGUAAACGGGUGGAUCCGCAAAGUCGGUCCGCGGAAUUCAGCGCGGCGCGCAGACCUGGGCUGCCGUGGUUCGGGAUCCCUGGGACCCAGCCGCGGUGUCGUUCGGGACUCCGCCGCGUGCACUUUCCGCGGGCAGAGUGCCACAACCGGUUCGGUGGCGGCUAUAAGUUUGGAGGGUUGUAGGUGGGGGCGCUUGCGUCCCUACCAGCCUUUCCCUUGCGAGCCGCUCCCGGACCGAGGGUACGCCGUGCGCUUCGAGGCCACCCUCCCCCUCCAGGUGAUUUCGACUGGGAGAGACUGGGCAACCGUGUCUCCCGACCGCUCAUCUGCGAUCGGCGUGGGGCUGGCCGGGCGUGCAUUGUCUGUCAAGGUUGGUGGCAAGUAUGUCGGCAUUCCACCCGACCCGUCUUGAA
This 425-nucleotide ribosomal RNA is filed under the name Pleurodonte sloaneana. Its description in RNAcentral is "partial 28S ribosomal RNA". The record is from RNAcentral. Lineage: Eukaryota; Metazoa; Mollusca; Gastropoda; Stylommatophora; Pleurodontidae.